UACGGAGGAUCCUAGCGUUAUCCGGAUUUAUUGGGUUUAAAGGGUGCGCAGGCGGAAUAGUAAGUCAGUGGUGAAAUCCUGCAGCUUAACUGCAGAACUGCCAUUGAUACUGUUAUUCUUGAGUAUAUUUGAAGUGGGCGGAAUGUGUCAUGUAGCGGUGAAAUGCUUAGAUAUGACACAGAACACCAAUUGCGAAGGCAGCUCACUAAACUAUAACUGACGCUCAUGCACGAAAGCGUGGGGAUCAAACAGGAUUAGAUACC
Molecule: ribosomal RNA, 263 nt
Filed under: uncultured bacterium
Lineage: Bacteria
Description: partial 16S ribosomal RNA
Rfam family: Bacterial small subunit ribosomal RNA
Source: RNAcentral